UGCUACCUACGGGGGGCAGCAGUGAGGAAUAUUGGUCAAUGGUCGAGAGCCUGAACCAGCCACGUCGCGUGAGGGAGUACUGCCCUAUGGGUUGUAAACCUCUUUUGUCGGGGAGCAAAAGCCGGACGUGUCCGGCUGUGAGAGUACCCGAAGAAAAAGCAUCGGCUAACUCCGUGCCAGCAGCCGCGGUAAUACGGAGGAUGCGAGCGUUAUCCGGAUUUAUUGGGUUUAAAGGGUGCGUAGGCGGGACGGUAAGUCAGCGGUAAAAAUGCGGAGCUCAACUCCGUCGAGCCGUUGCA
RNAcentral lists this ribosomal RNA (299 nucleotides) under uncultured bacterium. RNAcentral describes it as "partial 16S ribosomal RNA". It matches the Rfam family "Bacterial small subunit ribosomal RNA", at positions 333 to 631 of the family's 1533-position model. The record is from RNAcentral.